GUAAACUACAUCCGUGAUGUGAUUUGGUCGCGAUCAGCGAUGGAGAAACUGUGACAUUGACCUACUUGAAGUUGAAAACAGAUUUCGACAGAAAUUCAAAGGAUCUGAGGGCAUUGAAGGAGGAUAGAUGGAUCAAGUUAAUGUUAAGCUCAUGGUCAGGAUUGUGCAAGUUUUGGUAGAGAACAACGGCAUGUUCAUCGUUAGGACUCAUAGUUGUAGCCAUUUAGAACAUGCAUUGUAUUUAGACGGAGUGCAGGAUUUUAAUGAAGACUCGAAGCGGUGGCCUGAUAUGGACAUCAUUUUUCGAGCCUCAACCAGCCUCGCUCAUGCCAAGUCAUGGCCGUGAUGGCUAUUGCCUGGAAACAACAGGUUAUCAUCAUCAUAAAUCCCUAGAGACAUGAUAGAUCUAAUACUUCGCUUCCAAUAUCAAAGCCAUCAUAUGAAUUCGCCAUGUUGCAGUUUAGGCCUAGUUGUUCUAGUACUUAGUUGCAGGCAGUAUUUAAAAUAAAACAGCUAACCGGUUCGUUUAAUGUUACUGUUUCAUUAAUUGAUUAAAUUCUUGUCUGUUUACAAAAUAAACUCUGGAUAAAUAUUCUGAUACUUUA
This is a long non-coding RNA of Ostrea edulis (European flat oyster), 605 nucleotides long. RefSeq lists it as uncharacterized. The transcript has 2 exons. Lineage: Eukaryota; Metazoa; Mollusca; Bivalvia; Ostreida; Ostreidae. The record is from RefSeq and is a predicted model, not a curated record.